GCGUCGGUGGUGCAACGGUUUAGCACAUACUCCCGGAAAGAGUAAGGUCUGGUUUCAAAUUCCGGCUAACGCA
Parelaphostrongylus tenuis is the source of this 73-nucleotide non-coding RNA. The record is from the annotation of a GenBank genome assembly. Lineage: Eukaryota; Metazoa; Nematoda; Chromadorea; Rhabditida; Metastrongylidae.